Regulatory RNA element from Tyto alba (common barn owl), 45 nucleotides. It matches the Rfam family "Histone 3' UTR stem-loop". From Rfam's summary of the family: The mRNAs of metazoan histone genes lack a poly-A tail. 3' end processing occurs at a site between a highly conserved stem-loop (modelled by this family) and a purine rich region around 20 nts downstream (the histone downstream element, or HDE). The stem-loop is bound by a 31 kDa stem-loop binding protein (SLBP - also termed the histone hairpin binding protein, or HBP). The record is from Rfam. NCBI's taxonomy places the organism in Eukaryota, Metazoa, Chordata, Aves, Strigiformes, Tytonidae.
AAAAAGGCUCUUUUCAGAGCCACCCACAAUAGUCAAAAAGGGCUG